RNAcentral lists this long non-coding RNA (1044 nucleotides) under Oreochromis niloticus (Nile tilapia). RNAcentral's name for it is "lncRNA (ENSONIG00000042881.1)". Lineage: Eukaryota; Metazoa; Chordata; Actinopteri; Cichliformes; Cichlidae. The record is from RNAcentral.
CAAAGCAAAAACUGCCUUGACUUGCCCUCAAACAACGCUUUCUAACUCUAAAUCUAUUUGGAGUAUCAAUAUCAUUCUUUCACCGUAAGAGACAGCAGGCUUUGGUGAACAAUCAUGGAAAUUUUCAGGUCUCUGUGGAAAUCCAUUAAAAAGAUAUGACGAGAGAAAAAAGUGGUUCAUUUCCACAGUUUGAAAUCUGAAGAAAUCUGAGCGAAGGACGAAUUUCCUACCCUCAAACAAGUCUAACUCAUUUCAGAACGGUAAUAGGUGAGAAAGAAAUUCUUGAAUUGUGAGCGUCAGGAGUGUCUGAAGAUAUACGGGGACAAGCCUCAUGUUUUAACUUCGCUUUACAGCACAGAGAGAGACAGGAUUUUUGCAGUCUAUUUCUCAUAGUGAGGACUCCCCUCAAACAAACAGCCAUAAAUUCCUAACCGUAGGGGCUAAAACGGUCAUUCUUAGACCGUUGUGUUCAGAAGACAUGGGAGAAUCUUGAAAUGUUGACCAUUUAAAAUAAAAAUAUGAAAUAUCAUAGAUAUAUGACAUAGACGAUUGGUUGUCUUAGAAGCCAUGAUUGCCCCAAUAUGCAAAUUUGAAUGUGCAAGGCAUAAGAUAUGAUUGGCUGGCUGGGAAGCCAUGAAGGCAACAAUAUGCAAAUUUGAAUGUGCAAGCCCUCGGAUAUGAUUGGUUGUCUUAGAAGCCAUAUAAAAAGCAGUAAAACUGUACUAUAAUUUGGUAGAAAAACUAUAAUUAAUCAAAAAUACUAUAUUUGGCAGAAAUACUAUUUUGUAGCAGAAACACUAUAUUUAGCACAAAUCUGAUGAAAUAGAAGAAAUAGUAUGAUUUAGCAGAAAAGCUGUAUUUAGCACAAAUACUGGAAAGCAGCACAAAUGCUAUGACUUAGCACAAUAGUAAUAACCUAAAUAGAAAAAUUGGAAAAGCAAAAUGGACAGCUGAAAAAAUCCUGAACAUGCUAAGGGUCCCUCAAAUGUAAUUGUUAAAUGAAAAAAAACCAGCAAAAAAAAGUAUAACAGUCACACAACCACA